This 453-nucleotide unclassified non-coding RNA is filed under the name Hevea brasiliensis (rubber tree). Lineage: Eukaryota; Viridiplantae; Streptophyta; Magnoliopsida; Malpighiales; Euphorbiaceae. The record is from RNAcentral.
CAAACCUAUAGCCUAAAUCCAUAGCCAGACAGCUUCGGCUAAACCAAACCUUAAUUCUCUCUCUCUCUCUCUUUCUGUUUGCCUCGACAAAUAUAAAUAACAAUUAUUUUCAUUAUGUCAAAAGCAAACAAAAGCAGAGGAAAAAACGAGACUCAGAAGCUUUAGACUUUUCUUUGAAAAGCUUAACACCCACAACCCAAAAGCGUGUUUUAUUUUCUUGUGUCGCAUUUCCAGGAGUUCCUAUCAAAUACCAAUGAGUGAUCAUCUGGUUUUGUGUGCUGAUCGUCUCAUAACACCUGAAAGUUUGCAAUCAAUGGAAGGAGAUAAGGAGUCAGCAUCUUCUGGGGAGUGUUCAUCGUCUCAUACUGCUGAUGAACACACUUGUGUUAUUAAUGUUGAGGAAGUGGGGGAACAUGGCAUAUCUGAGGAAGAAGAACCACUUAUUCAAACAAU